GGUCAGGUUCAGCGGGCGUCGCAAGGCGCCCGUGUACUCCUAGAUCCAUCCAAACCUUGUAAGCGUACACUGCAACCAGUUAGACGAUCAGAGAUGGGCACAGUGUUGGACGACGGGAGCAAUCCUUGACUCCUUCACGAAGCAUUUGUUUGCUCGGGUUAGUAGUAGUGCGGUUGAGCUUCGGCUUUUCUCGUGUUGCUGGGCUCGCGGCAAGUGAACUAUCACUGAAUACUGACUGGCGAAAUGAAAAUCGCGCUAGUCGCGUUAGAGACAACGCUAUUGGCCGCAUUUGUGUCUACACGUUCGACUGUUGAGUCUAAGCUCGGCGCUCUCGAAUUCAGACUUGCUGCUAUCAGUGGGGCAACUCCUGGUGCUUGUAUAGCUUCUGUCUAAUCGGGCGUCGACUUGGCUUGGCAUUGUUCGUGGCGUGCAUCGUUAGGAUGCGAAUGCGAGCUAACAAGCAAUGU
This 467-nucleotide ribosomal RNA is filed under the name Aceria pallida. Its description in RNAcentral is "partial 28S ribosomal RNA". The record is from RNAcentral. Lineage: Eukaryota; Metazoa; Arthropoda; Arachnida; Trombidiformes; Eriophyidae.